UACGUAGGGUGCGAGCGUUAAUCGGAAUUACUGGGCGUAAAGCGUGCGCAGGCGGUUUUGUAAGACAGGCGUGAAAUCCCCGGGCUCAACCUGGGAACUGCGCUUGUGACUGCAUCACUCGAGUACGGCAGAGGGGGGUGGAAUUCCACGUGUAGCAGUGAAAUGCGUAGAGAUGUGGAGGAACACCGAUGGCGAAGGCAGCCCCCUGGGCCGAUACUGACGCUCAUGCACGAAAGCGUGGGUAGCAAAC
Molecule: ribosomal RNA, 250 nt
Filed under: uncultured bacterium
Lineage: Bacteria
Description: partial 16S ribosomal RNA
Rfam family: Bacterial small subunit ribosomal RNA
Source: RNAcentral